This is a long non-coding RNA of Alligator sinensis (Chinese alligator), 1722 nucleotides long. RefSeq lists it as uncharacterized. Lineage: Eukaryota; Metazoa; Chordata; Crocodylia; Alligatoridae. The transcript is spliced from 3 exons. The record is from RefSeq and is a predicted model, not a curated record.
CUGAGUUACACUUAGGUUGUAACUCUGAGAUUAGAGUGAUUCAGCAACAUGUGAUAACACAGUUAUCAGUGCUGUGGGUUUGGCUAAACCGGUGAUAGAUAAUGAAGCCAACAGCAGCCACCUUGGAUUAAUGAGAGUCUCCCAUGAACUGGAAGUGCUGAUAAUUCCUUAGUUUGGAGAGUGACUGAAAAAAAAAAUCAUUCAUACAGUCUGCAAAGGCACUUUUAAUAUUAGAUUAGUCUAGCUGUGAUGAAGGAUUGUACAUUAACAGGAGCUGCGGCAGCCUGUCACCAGGAAAUACUGCUUUACUCAGAAUGGGUGACAUCAAAGAAAUGCCAUGGAGCAGUCAACUCAGAACUCAUAGUUGCCCAUCAAUCGCUCAGUAGUCAGUGUAGAUUCUGUUUUUACAAUCAGCAGCUACAUCUGGCUACUGGGUCUCUGAUGACAUCUUGUAGCUUCCACAUGGUUUGCUGAAGAUUAUUUAUCACUCUAUGAUGAAGUGAUCUUUGUGGCUCCAAGAUACAAAAUAAAUAAUGAGUUAUCCCUUGGAAAUGAUAAAUAUCUAAUAAGGACUGAAAUAUUUGUUACAUACAGUGCAUAGUUUGGAUUUGUUAGAAAAUUAUGGGGAGGUAGGGAGGGGCUGUUUUGGUUUUGUUUUGUUUUAAGGAAAGUGUCACUAUUUUCUCCAGCAUGUAGUCAUGUGGCCUGUAAUAUAAAUAUAGUUCUCUACUGUUCCAAAACCUUCUGGCUAAGGAAGGAAGUAUAGAAAAGACCUACCUGAUGAUUUAUUUUGAUUUGGUAUGCUUGAUAAAACACACUUUCUGAUAUGUCAAACCACAGGUUUGGAAGAAUGAGCACCAUAAGCAGUAGUGUGUGCUUUCAGAGCCAUUUGGAGAAGUGUAAGGAUCAGACACUAGAAGACUCUCCAGGUUUGGGGCAUGAACCUGGCAUACAAUGUAGAUUUCUGUAUUUCUUAAGCAACAGCUACAUUGUCUGCUGGGUUUCAAGCUGCCUGGAAAUUCAAAACAAAAUGGUAUCCUACUUAUCCUAUAGGACAAGUAUUACAUGUGGUAUACCAGUCCAUUGACUAUGCUUAUUGCAACCUGAGCGGAGAGUUAGUUAAUGUGUUGGCACACUAGACUUUCACUUCUGUAACUAAAUUUCUCAAACUGCAUCAAAAGUGAAAACAAAUGUUAUCUUCACCUGUGCAAAUUAAUAUACAGCAAAAUGAUGCAGUGACUGUAAGUUUCAGUUUGAGAAGCUGAAGGAGAGGACUAGAAUAACAGAAGGCUAUUAUGGAUCAGGCUUGAAAAGGGCAACGACAGCUGUGUGGGGAAGUUUGCACAGCAUGUGCUAAAUACUCUGUGCCUGAUUCCAGUUUGUGGUGUUAACCUCUCAUUGACAACUUGCAGUGCAUGUGCACCUUAACUAUAUGUUGAAAGUCAUAAUUGAUAAGAUAAUUCUCGAACUUUAAUUUGCCUUUGAUUAUACUGUGCUGGUCAUGGACUUCUGGUUUGUGAUAAUGGAUGACAGUUUUGUAGGGAGGUAGUCUCUCUGAUCAAGAAGGCAUUAUUAAUUUAGGACUCUACACUUAUACCAAUUACAGGAGGCAUAUCAAAGAUACCGCUACUUGAAUACAAUAAUGUAAGAGGCAGAAGGGAUCUGUAAAUAUAAUGCGACAGCAAAAUUAUGUCUUAAACUUCAAAUAAAGCUGCUAAUUAA